UGCCAGCAGCCGCGGUAAUACGAAGGUCCCAAGCGUUGUUCGGAAUUACUGGGCUUAAAGAGUUCGUAGGUGGUUAAAAAAGUUGGUGGUGAAAUCCCAGAGCUUAACUCUGGAACUGCCAUCAAAACUUUUUAGCUAGAGUGUGAUAGAGGUAAGUGGAAUUUCUAGUGUAGAGGUGAAAUUCGUAGAUAUUAGAAAGAACACCAAAUGCGAAGGCAACUUUCUGGAUCAUUACUGACACUGAGGAACGAAAGCAUGGGUAGCGAAGAGGAUUAGAUA
Molecule: ribosomal RNA, 279 nt
Filed under: uncultured bacterium
Lineage: Bacteria
Description: partial 16S ribosomal RNA
Rfam family: Bacterial small subunit ribosomal RNA
Source: RNAcentral